This 1346-nucleotide ribosomal RNA is filed under the name uncultured bacterium. Its description in RNAcentral is "partial 16S ribosomal RNA". It matches the Rfam family "Bacterial small subunit ribosomal RNA", at positions 28 to 1381 of the family's 1533-position model. The record is from RNAcentral.
GACGAACGCUGGCGGCGUGCUUAACACAUGCAAGUCGAACGGAAAGGCCCUGCUUUUGUGGGGUGCUCGAGUGGCGAACGGGUGAGUAACACGUGAGUAACCUGCCCUUGACUUUGGGAUAACUUCAGGAAACUGGGGCUAAUACCGGAUAGGAGCUCCUGCUGCAUGGUGGGGGUUGGAAAGUUUCGGCGGUUGGGGAUGGACUCGCGGCUUAUCAGCUUGUUGGUGGGGUAGUGGCUUACCAAGGCUUUGACGGGUAGCCGGCCUGAGAGGGUGACCGGCCACAUUGGGACUGAGAUACGGCCCAGACUCCUACGGGAGGCAGCAGUGGGGAAUAUUGCACAAUGGGCGGAAGCCUGAUGCAGCAACGCCGCGUGCGGGAUGACGGCCUUCGGGUUGUAAACCGCUUUCGCCUGUGACGAAGCGUGAGUGACGGUAAUGGGUAAAGAAGCACCGGCUAACUACGUGCCAGCAGCCGCGGUGAUACGUAGGGUGCGAGCGUUGUCCGGAUUUAUUGGGCGUAAAGGGCUCGUAGGUGGUUGAUCGCGUCGGAAGUGUAAUCUUGGGGCUUAACCCUGAGCGUGCUUUCGAUACGGGUUGACUUGAGGAAGGUAGGGGAGAAUGGAAUUCCUGGUGGAGCGGUGGAAUGCGCAGAUAUCAGGAGGAACACCAGUGGCGAAGGCGGUUCUCUGGGCCUUUCCUGACGCUGAGGAGCGAAAGCGUGGGGAGCGAACAGGCCUAGAUACCCUGGUAGUCCACGCUGUAAACGGUGGGUACUAGGUGUGGGGUCCAUUCCACGGGUUCCGUGCCGUAGCUAACGCUUUAAGUACCCCGCCUGGGGAGUACGGCCGCAAGGCUAAAACUCAAAGGAAUUGACGGGGCCCCGCACAAGCGGCGGAGCAUGCGGAUUAAUUCGAUGCAACGCGUAGAACCUUACCUGGGUUUGACAUGGAUCGGGAGUGCUCAGAGAUGGGUGUGCCUCUUUUGGGGUCGGUUCACAGGUGGUGCAUGGCUGUCGUCAGCUCGUGUCGUGAGAUGUUGGGUUAAGUCCCGCAACGAGCGCAACCCUUGUUCACUGUUGCCAGCACGUUAUGGUGGGGACUCAGUGGAGACCGCCGGGGUCAACUCGGAGGAAGGUGGGGAUGACGUCAAGUCAUCAUGCCCCUUAUGUCCAGGGCUUCACGCAUGCUACAAUGGCUGGUACAGAGAGUGGCGAGCCUGUGAGGGUGAGCGAAUCUCGGAAAGCCGGUCUCAGUUCGGAUUGGGGUCUGCAACUCGACCUCAUGAAGUCGGAGUCGCUAGUAAUCGCAGAUCAGCAACGCUGCGGUGAAUAAGUUCCCGGGGCU